Molecule: long non-coding RNA, 212 nt
Organism: Saccostrea cuccullata (small rock oyster)
Lineage: Eukaryota; Metazoa; Mollusca; Bivalvia; Ostreida; Ostreidae
Exons: 2
Source: RefSeq, a predicted model, not a curated record
CCGGAAAUCUUAUGUCCAUCUUUAUUUACUUUCAUUUUUGUUUGUAUAACGGCAUUUCCGGAAGUCUGCACGAGGUUCAUGCACUCAAAUUUAUCAACGAAACUUCUUGUUAUAUAGUGGCAACCAUCUUUCACAGAAUGUCUCACAAGAGAAUGUAUGAAGUCUGCUCCAGACCCUUGAAAGUUGAAUUCUGAAUAAAUUUUAUGAACCUU